Molecule: ribosomal RNA, 253 nt
Filed under: uncultured bacterium
Lineage: Bacteria
Description: partial 16S ribosomal RNA
Rfam family: Bacterial small subunit ribosomal RNA
Source: RNAcentral
UACAGAGGGGGCAAGCGUUGUUCGGAAUUACUGGGCGUAAAGGGCGCGUAGGCGGCCUUCUAAGUCGAACGUGAAAUCCCCGGGCUCAACCCGGGAACUGCGUCCGAUACUGGAAGGCUUGAAUCCGGGAGAGGGAUGCGGAAUUCCAGGUGGAGCGGUGAAAUGCGUUGAUAUCCGCAGGAACUCCGGUGGCGAAGGCGGCGUGCUGGACCUCUUCUGACGCUGAGGCGCGAAAGCUAGGGGAGCAAACGGG